CAGCCUCGUAUUGUAGAAGGGAGGGAGGAAGGAUGAAUGGACAGAUGGACCAGCAGAUGCCUCUGAAGUCAUUUGCAGACGCACCCUCGUUCUGCAGAGGCAGUGAGGUAUUGUUGAAGGUGCAGUGCUGUGAGGAUUUGGACCCGGAUUUGGGGCCUGGCUGGGUCACUGAGAGUUAUGUCUUUGCCGUGUGUAUGUUUGCGCCUACCUUUCCAAUGGGUGAAACAAGAAAAUUCCGUGAUUCCAUGUUGAAGCCUCCUUAGAAGUACUCUAAACUUCUCUCUCUUCAAGGCAGCUCUUGAUCAUCUCUAAGCUAGAACCAGUGUUUGUUGUCAGAUCCACAACUCUUUCCAGGCUGCCCGGUGUGAGGCCGGCAACUAUUUGGUGUGCACAUUUUAUAAAGACAAAAUGCUCCCCUUAGCUUCAGUGAAAUGACUGGUUGGAGUCAUUUGGUUGGAUAGAAGUUUGGACAGCUGCCCAGGUCAGGAAUGGUGAAAAGGAACCACUGCUUUCCUUGGUCUCUUUGCUCUCAGAAGCCAAGAUAAAUGCCAUCCCGACCCUAUGCCCACAGCUAUCCCUUUUUCUUAGGAAAGGAUUUGGCUCCUUCCAGCUCAGUGCCUCUGUACACAAGCUUUUGCUCUGCCUGGGAGAUGCUUCUAACCCCUAAGGACCUGCCCUGGUUGUUAGACUAUAAUCUAAACUGACAACAGACGUUCUGGUUUUUUAAAAAAGUCCUAUCAUUUCCAUCCUUUCCAUUCAGCAUCUUCCCUCAUUGUUCCCUCCCCCAGCCUAUCAUCCCCCUUCCUAAGUUGAUAGUGAGUCUUAUUAAGUGGUGCUGUGUCAUAAAGUGUUGAGUUGUGUCAGCUGGAAAUGGAACAUGAUUAAGUAUAUAAAGGAGCCCCAGCCUCGCCUGCCACAACAUUAUACAACAGAAACCUUGGCAGUGUGCUAACAUCUUUUCUUUCUCGCUUUCCUGGGGAGCAGUGAGCCCGCCUCUCACCAUGUGGGUCCAGUUGUUGGUCCUGGGCUCAAGUUGGCCAAGUGCAGAGAAGCAAGCUAACAGGAGAGAGAAAAAAGGUUCCAGCUCUGUUAUAUAACGGCACUACAGUAACGCACCCCGGUCCUUGGCAGCCCUGUAAAUUCCUCCUCUCUGAAUUGUUGGUUCGGGACAAUCAUUCAGCAGGGAAUUACUUUCUCAUCUAUGAAAUAAAUGAGAUGUUAAACUA
Long non-coding RNA from Acinonyx jubatus (cheetah), 1226 nucleotides. RefSeq lists it as uncharacterized. NCBI's taxonomy places the organism in Eukaryota, Metazoa, Chordata, Mammalia, Carnivora, Felidae. The record is from RefSeq and is a predicted model, not a curated record. The transcript is spliced from 2 exons.